RNAcentral lists this long non-coding RNA (321 nucleotides) under Androctonus crassicauda. The record is from RNAcentral. Lineage: Eukaryota; Metazoa; Arthropoda; Arachnida; Scorpiones; Buthidae.
CUAUUAUUACGAUUUUAAAAAAAUUACAGCAUUUCUAAUAUUUUAUCAGAUUCUUUAUGUUAAUAAAAUCAAUUUCAUUUUGUAAAAAUUCAUUUCAGAGAAUACAACCACCUUUAAACAUUAGUUAUGCACUGCCUACCAAGGACGGAGGGUGCGUAAUUCUGGCUAUUUAUUUUCUAAGCAAAUACUCCCACGGUUUUGGGAGCUCUUCUACUUCCCUGUUAUUUAUAACUGCUUUUAACUUCCUGUCUUUCGCUAUUUGUAGGUUUUCUGCCACCAGUAAUUCUACUUUGCCUGCUAUUUGGUUAACUACUUUGGCUU